CUGACCGCUGUCUCAUCCACUCUCCUGGAGGCUGUCCCCUGACCCCUGUCUCCUCCACUCUCCUGGAGGCUGACCCCUGUCUCCUCCACUCUCCUGGAGGCUAACCCCUGUCUCCUCCACUCUCCUGGAGGCUGACCCCUGUCUCCUCCACUCUCCUGGAGGCUGACCCCUGAUCCCUGUCUCCUCCACUCUUCUGGAGGCUUACCCCUGUCUCCUGCACUCUCCUGGAGGCUGACCCCUGUCUCCUCCACUCUCCUGGAGGCUGACCCCUGACCCCUGUCUCCUCCACUCUUCUGGAGGCUUACCCCUGUCUCCUGCACUCUCCUGGAGGCUGACCCCUGUCUCCUCCACUCUCCUGGAGGCUGACCCCUAUCUCCUCCACUCCUCUGGAGGCUGACCCCUGACUCCUCCACUCUCCUGGAGGCUGAACCCUGACCCCUCCAAUCUCCUGGAGGCUGACUCCUGUCUCCUGUACUCUCCUGGAGGCUGACCCCUGUCUCCUCCACUCUCCUGGAGGCUGAUCCCCAUCUCCUCCACUCUCCAGGAGGCUGACCCCUCCACUCUCCUGGAG
This is a long non-coding RNA of Oncorhynchus tshawytscha (Chinook salmon), 571 nucleotides long. The record is from Ensembl. Lineage: Eukaryota; Metazoa; Chordata; Actinopteri; Salmoniformes; Salmonidae.